RNAcentral lists this small nuclear RNA (242 nucleotides) under Octodon degus (degu). RNAcentral describes it as "7SK RNA (ENSODEG00000022678.1)". It matches the Rfam family "7SK RNA". From Rfam's summary of the family: 7SK was discovered as an abundant small nuclear RNA in the mid-70s but a possible function has only recently been suggested. Lineage: Eukaryota; Metazoa; Chordata; Mammalia; Rodentia; Octodontidae. The record is from Rfam by way of RNAcentral.
GGAUGUGAGGUGAUCUGGCUGUGACAUGUGUCACACCAUUGAUCACCAGGGUUGACUCAGAUGAUGUGGCCAUCCAGGUGGGUGUCCCCUUCCUCCCUCAAUGCUCCAUGUGUGUUCGGUCAAAGAAGGAGGACCAUUCCUGGGUCAAGGGUGUGAGAGUGGCUGCGUUCCCCCACUAGCACCCCAAGCAGGUAGAGAGCAAAUGCUUGGCUCAUUCCUGUCUGGCUCCUGGGUCUUCACGG